ACUCCUACGGGAGGCAGCAGUGGGGAAUAUUGCGCAAUGGGCGGAAGCCUGACGCAGCGACGCCGCGUGGGGAUGACGGCCUUCGGGUUGUAAACCUCUUUCGCCAGGGACGAAGCUUUUGUGACGGUACCUGGAGAAGAAGCACCGGCCAACUACGUGCCAGCAGCCGCGGUAACACGUAGGGUGCGAGCGUUGUCCGGAAUUAUUGGGCGUAAAGAGCUCGUAGGCGGUGUGUCGCGUCGGCCGUGAAAACUUGGGGCUUAACUCUGAGCGUGCGGUCGAUACGGGCAUCACUUGAGUUCGGCAGGGGAGACUGGAAUUCCUGGUGUAGCGGUGAAAUGCGCAGAUAUCAGGAGGAACACCGGUGGCGAAGGCGGGUCUCUGGGCCGAUACUGACGCUGAGGAGCGAAAGCAUGGGGAGCGAACAGGAUUAGAUACCCUGGUAGGCUCUGC
This 453-nucleotide ribosomal RNA is filed under the name uncultured bacterium. RNAcentral's name for it is "bacterial SSU rRNA". It matches the Rfam family "Bacterial small subunit ribosomal RNA", at positions 335 to 800 of the family's 1533-position model. The record is from RNAcentral.